Molecule: ribosomal RNA, 458 nt
Filed under: uncultured bacterium
Lineage: Bacteria
Description: partial 16S ribosomal RNA
Rfam family: Bacterial small subunit ribosomal RNA
Source: RNAcentral
CCUACGGGAGGCAGCAGUGGGGAAUAUUGCACAAUGGGGGAAACCCUGAUGCAGCGACGCCGCGUGAGUGAAGAAGUAAUUCGUUACGUAAAGCUCUAUCAGCAGGGAAGAAACACUGACCUUACGGUCAGCAGACGGUACCUGAGUAAGAAGCCCCGGCUAACUACGUGCCAGCAGCCGCGGUAAUACGUAGGGGGCAAGAGUUAUCCGGAUUUACUGGGUGUAAAGGGAGCGUAGACGGUGCGACAAGUCUGGAGGGAAAUGCCGCAGCUUAACUGCGGAACUGCUGUGGAAACUGGCGAACUAGGGUGCGGGAGGGGGAAGCUGAAUGCCUAGUGUAGCGGUGAAAGGCGUAGAUAUUAGGAGGAACACCGGUGGCGAGGGCGGCUUACUGGACCGUAACUGACGUUGAGGCUCGAAAGCGUGGGGAGCAAACAGGAUUAGAUACCCCAGUAGUC